This 407-nucleotide ribosomal RNA is filed under the name uncultured bacterium. Its description in RNAcentral is "partial 16S ribosomal RNA". It matches the Rfam family "Bacterial small subunit ribosomal RNA", at positions 30 to 526 of the family's 1533-position model. The record is from RNAcentral.
AUUGAACGCUGGCGGCAGGCCUAACACAUGCAAGUCGAGCGGAUCGGCGGACGGGUGAGUAAUGCCUAGGAAUCUGCCUGUUAGUGGGGGCGAACGUCCGGAACCGGGCGCUAAUACUGCAUACUAUCACAUGAGCCUAGGUAGGAUUAGCUAGUUGGUGGGGUAAAGGCCUACCAAGGCGACGAUCCGUAACUGGUCUGAGAGGAUGAUCAGUCACAAUGGAACUGAGACACGGUCCAGACUCCGACGGGAGGCAGCAGUGGGGAAUAUUGGACAAUGGGCGAAAGCCUGAUCCAGCCAUGCCGCGUGUGUGAAGAAGGUCUUCGGAUUGUAAAGCACUUUAAGUUGGGAGGCGUUACCAACAGAAUAAGCACCGGCUAACUGCGUGCCAGCAGCCGCGGUAAUUC